UUAAAAACAAAACAACAGGUAAAGACAAAGAUGCCCCCGUGCAGCCUUCGACAGACUUUUGGGGGCAAGUUGCUGGUACUCGAGCUGCCCAUCCGGCAAGGGAACACGUGAUGGUGGUGGGUAGGUGGGUGGCCAGCAUCCACGCCCGACCGCCUUUGUCUCCCGCAAGUGGCGACGCUUAUGCUGCACACCGCACAAGGUGGACACAUUUGAGGCUGAGUCGACCUAGGGGGAGGCCGGGUUCGUAGCCAAAACAAAGAGGAAGGUGGAGUGAGAGAAUCGGACGCGGAGGCGAAGCACGGCAGGAAUGUGUCAGCGCUCCGUGCGCGUUGUUAUCGCACCGUUGUCCGACGGUUCGCAUCGGAGAGCUUCUGCCUAGAUACCGAAUGAGGCUCCCCCGGCGCCGAUGGAACCGUUAACGCCGGACAUUGUGCCGAACAGUGUCAACAACAACAACAACAACGAAUGCACGCGGCUGCGACACGUUGGGGAGGGGUCGUGCAGACAGAGAUAUCGAUACAUAACAGAAGGUUCUAAUCCAUUCUUACAAUAACACAGGAUGGUGUUAAGAUGUUCAAACACCAACAUAGAUCCAUAACAGAAGGUUCUAAUCCAUUCUGACAAUAACACAGGUGGUGUUAA
Non-coding RNA from Petromyzon marinus (sea lamprey), 642 nucleotides. Lineage: Eukaryota; Metazoa; Chordata; Hyperoartia; Petromyzontiformes; Petromyzontidae. The record is from RefSeq and is a predicted model, not a curated record.